UACAGAGGUCUCAAACGUUGUUCGGAUUCAUUGGGCGUAAAGGGUGCGUAGGCGGCGCGGUAAGUCGGGUGUGAAAUCUUGGAGCUUAACUCCGAAACUGCAUUCGAUACUGCGGGUCUCGAGUCCGGGAGAGGUGAGUGGAAUUCCUAGUGUAGAGGUGAAAUUCGUAGAUAUUAGGAAGAACACCAGUGGCGAAGGCGGCUCACUGGCCCGGUACUGACGCUGAGGCGCGAAAGCGUGGGGAGCAAACAGG
Molecule: ribosomal RNA, 253 nt
Filed under: uncultured bacterium
Lineage: Bacteria
Description: partial 16S ribosomal RNA
Rfam family: Bacterial small subunit ribosomal RNA
Source: RNAcentral